ACCCUGCGGAUAACCAAAUUGAUAAUUAAACCAAUUAUAAAUUGUUAAGCGUGUAAAACUAAAACCACGUCCGAGACAUGAAACCAAAACACUAGUUGGAGUGGAUGCAUACGGUUUUUCACUCCGAAGGAUGGAGCCUCCCGUGGAUUCUAAAAGCCAAUCCACUACUUCGCUAAAGGUUCGGGAUGAACUGCUAUGCGCUUUUUCACUCCGAACGAUGGAGCCUCCCGUGGAUGCUAAAACCGAAUUCACUUUUUCGCUAUAGGUUCGGGAUGAACUGCUAUGCGCUUUAUCAUUCACCACGGCUCUUCUAUCACGACGAGUCGAGCUGUGUCCAUACGUAGAAGAAUCUCUAGGCAUAGCGGACCGGGAUGACACACUAAAGCUGAUGGAACUUUGCCGGGGAUGAUGACCCUAAGGAGGUUGAGAUUACUUGGUUUUCGUUUUUGAACUAGGUAGUUCUUUUCAGAGACUGAGUGUAUUUGAGAAUAUAUAAAGAGAGGAGAGAGAAAAUCGGCAUAAUAAGUUGAAGAAAGCCAAAUUAAGGAAUAAAGAUCUACCAAGAAUGUUUCAUGUAAAAUAAGAAAAUAAUUAAACAAAAACAUUCCAAGACCUUCUGAAU
This 622-nucleotide long non-coding RNA is filed under the name Glycine max (soybean). RNAcentral's name for it is "long non-coding RNA (GMAX_LNC000552)". The record is from RNAcentral. Lineage: Eukaryota; Viridiplantae; Streptophyta; Magnoliopsida; Fabales; Fabaceae.